ACGGCUCAGUAACACGUGGCUAAUCUGCCCUUGGGACCGGAACACCCCCGGGAAACUGGGGCUAAUUCUCGAUAGGUGAAGAACUCUGGAAUGAGUCUUUGCUAAAAAGACGUUUACGUUAUGCUCGUAGACGUCGCCCAAGGAUGAGGCCGCGACCGAUCAGGUUGUUGGUAAGGUAAUGGCUCACCAAGCCUUUUACCGGUGCGGGCCGUGAGAGCGGGAGCCCGGAGAUGGGCACUGAGACAAGGGCCCAGGCCCUACGGGGCGCAGCAGUCGCGAAAACUUUGCAAUACACGAAAGUGUGACAGGGCUAUCCCGAGUGCCAUCCGCUGAGGAAGGCUUUUACCCAGUCUAGAACGCUGGGGGAAUAAGGAGAGGGCAAGUCUGGUGUCAGCCGCCGCGGUAAUACCAGCUCUCCGAGUGGUGUGGAUGUUUAUUGGGCCUAAAGCAUCCGUAGCUGGCUGAGUUAGUCCCUUGUUAAAUCCACCGAAUUAAUCGUUGGAUUGCGGGGGAUACUGCUCGGCUAGGGGACGAGAGAGGCAGACGGUAUUCCUGGGGUAGGGGUGAAAUCCUAUAAUCCCAGGAGGACCACCAGUGGCGAAGGCUGUCUGCUAGAACGCGCCCGACGGUGAGGGAUGAAAGCUGGGGGAGCGAACCGGAUUAGAUACCCGGGUAGUCCCAGCUGUAAACGAUGCAGACUAGGUGUUUGGACGGCCACGUGCCGUUCUAGUGCCGCAGGGAAGCUGUUAAGUCUGCCGCCUGGGGAGUACGAUCGCAAGAUUGAAACUUAAAGGAAUUGGCGGGGGAGCAC
RNAcentral lists this ribosomal RNA (811 nucleotides) under uncultured archaeon. RNAcentral's name for it is "bacterial SSU rRNA". It matches the Rfam family "Archaeal small subunit ribosomal RNA", at positions 85 to 879 of the family's 1478-position model. The record is from RNAcentral.